GUAUAUUUGGCAUUAGUGUGAAUC
Molecule: small nuclear RNA, 24 nt
Filed under: Arabidopsis thaliana (thale cress)
Lineage: Eukaryota; Viridiplantae; Streptophyta; Magnoliopsida; Brassicales; Brassicaceae
Description: snRNA_12242
Source: RNAcentral